Molecule: non-coding RNA, 193 nt
Organism: Oryza glaberrima (African rice)
Lineage: Eukaryota; Viridiplantae; Streptophyta; Magnoliopsida; Poales; Poaceae
Source: Rfam
UUUAAAUGUAGUCGUAGUUAAUGUUUGACCGUCCGUCUUAUUUAUUUUUUUAUGAUUAGUAUUUUUAUUGUCAUUAGAUAAUAAAAUAUAAAUAUUAUUUUAAGCGUGACUUAUUUUUUAAAAUUUUUCAUAAAUUUUUCAAAUAAGACGGAUGGUCAAACGUUGGAUACGGAAAUUCACAGCUACACUUGAA